AGAAGAAGGAUUUGGUGCUUCAUCUCUGACACACUUCAGGCUUUUCUUGCAUGGAAUAAUAAAGAAUGAAUAGAAUAAGCUGCUGGAUGACUCCAAAUGGAUAAGAAAGACAGCAAUUCUAGACUACCAGAGAUGGAGAAAGCAGGUGAGAAGGAAUCAGUUCAAAGAUAACACUAUUAGACGCCAAAAGCGAAGACUGUUAAAAAGCUUUAUUACUCCAUAUCUUUUGAGCAUAGGCUUUUCUUGCAUGGAAUAAUAAAGAAUGAAUAGAAUAAGCUGCUGGAUGACUCCAAAUGGAUAAGAAAGACAGCAAUUCUAGACUACCAGAGAUGGAGAAAGCAGCUAAAAUGCUUUCAAUCCUUUUCUUUAAAGAUCAUUUUCUUCACAGUGUUGGAGAAUGCAGAAAUCAACAUGUUGGGCUUGUUUGAUGCUGAUGACACACUG
This 444-nucleotide long non-coding RNA is filed under the name Ficedula albicollis (Collared flycatcher). RNAcentral describes it as "lncRNA (ENSFALG00000025498.1)". The record is from RNAcentral. Lineage: Eukaryota; Metazoa; Chordata; Aves; Passeriformes; Muscicapidae.